Molecule: unclassified non-coding RNA, 1296 nt
Filed under: Zea mays
Lineage: Eukaryota; Viridiplantae; Streptophyta; Magnoliopsida; Poales; Poaceae
Description: misc RNA Zm00001eb261220
Source: RNAcentral
ACGCACGGCACGACAGCAGGCGUCCACAUCCCUCUUGCCCAGAGCCCCAGACAAAGAAAAAGAAACCCAAAAGCAAAUCGCGCACCCCCAGUCCCCCACCGUCCCACGCCAUGCGGCCGCCCCCUUGCUAACCAACCACGGCGCCGCGCGCGCGCAUCGCCGUCGCAAUGGCCGCCGCCGACUCGUCCAAGCCCGCGCGCGCGGCCACGCUCCCCGCCCGCACGCUCCUCCUGGCGCUCCCCUUCCUCUCCCUCCUCCUCCUCUUCCUCUACGUCUACUCCACCACCUCGUGGCGCCCUGCAUCAGGCCUCCCCGCAACCGCCGCAACAACAACAACAACAACCGUCGCCACCACCACCACCACCACCGUGCCGCUGACCCCCUCCCCUCCGUCCCCGCACAUCCGGAUGCGGCGGUCCCGGUACCGUUCCUACGACGACUACCUCCGCCACCAGCUGAACAAGACGCUGGACCCGCGGCUCCGGCGGGUGUGGGCGACGCGGGACUGGCAGCGGAAGGUGGACGCGUUCGCGCGCCUCUUCGCGGGGCUCCGGGACGAGGGCCUCCUCUCCAACGCGUCCCGCGCGCUCUGCGUCGGCGCGCGCCUGGGCCAGGAGGUGGCCGCGCUGCGCCAGGUGGGCGUCCGGGGCGCGCUCGGCAUCGACCUGGCCCCGGCGCCGCCGCUCGUCGCCCGCGGCGACUUCCACGCGCAGCCCUUCCCCGACGCCACCUUCGACUUCGAGUUCUCCAACGUCUUCGACCACGCGCUGUACCCGGACCGCUUCGCCGCCGAGGUGGAGCGCACGCUGCGCCCCGGCGGCGUCGCCGUGCUCCACGUCGCCGUGCACCGCCGCGGGGACAGGUACUCCGCCAACGACCUGCUGGACGUGCGCGGCCUCGUCGGCCUGUUCCGCCGCUGCGACGUCGUGCGGGUGUCCAAGGUCGACGCCUUCGGGCUCGACACCGAGGUCAUCCUCCGCAAGAAGGGGUCGUCUCGCCGCUGACGACGUCUCUAGCCAUGCGUCCAUCCGCUGGGUCCUCCACAACAGUCACCGACCGAAUACACGAUCCAAUCUUGGCUUGCAAACUACGAACGGCAGAGAGAAAAAGGCAAGUGUUGGGCAUCGAUUUAUUUUGGUUUCUGUACUACUAAUUGUGGCAUUGUACCAACACCUAGCAAACACAGUAGGCAUCCAUCUUGUUCUUGCUUUGUAUACCUAGGCACCGAAUUGGUGGUAGUUAGGAAAAAACAAUUGAGUUCAAUUGAAUUGAAAUCAAUCCGCUUUGAUUUAUGUG